RNAcentral lists this ribosomal RNA (301 nucleotides) under uncultured bacterium. RNAcentral's name for it is "partial 16S ribosomal RNA". It matches the Rfam family "Bacterial small subunit ribosomal RNA", at positions 509 to 807 of the family's 1533-position model. The record is from RNAcentral.
CAGUCGCCGCGGUAAUACGGAGGGUGCAAGCGUUAUCCGGAUUUAUUGGGUUUAAAGGGUCCGUAGGCGGAUCUGUAAGUCAGUGGUGAAAUCUCACAGCUUAACUGUGAAACUGCCAUUGAUACUGCAGGUCUUGAGUAAAUUUGAAGUGGCUGGAAUAAGUAGUGUAGCGGUGAAAUGCAUAGAUAUUACUUAGAACACCAAUUGCGAAGGCAGGUCACUAAGAUUUAACUGACGCUGAUGGACGAAAGCGUGGGGAGCGAACAGGAUUAGAUUCCCGCGUAGUCCCUGUCUCUUAUAC